CUUAAAUCUGCUUAUUCAAGAAGUUUUGAUUCACGGGUUGCAGAAAAUUGAAGGUUCAUCAUACAUGGCUGGGAAACGCAAAAGGAAAGGGGGAAAUGAACCCGUAAAGAAGGAUGUCACCCCCGAGCCGAACGAUAAUGCGGUUGGUUGGAGAAAUUUCUUCAAUGCGAACUACAAAGCCCUUCGAGCAGCUGAGAAGGGAUU
This is a long non-coding RNA of Cannabis sativa, 204 nucleotides long. RefSeq lists it as uncharacterized. The transcript is spliced from 3 exons. NCBI's taxonomy places the organism in Eukaryota, Viridiplantae, Streptophyta, Magnoliopsida, Rosales, Cannabaceae. The record is from RefSeq and is a predicted model, not a curated record.